CAUCUACUUUUGAAAAGACAUCAAUUUCCCCAUCUCCUUCAUGCUAGACACAUUUAAUCCCCACAAGAUAAGUGCUAUUAAUUUUUACUUUGUGAUUGAGCAAAUAUAAGCCCAGAGAAAAUGAAUUAUUUCUCCAAUGGCACAUAACUGAUAUGUACCUUGGUUAGAUUUUAAAAUGACAUGCCUUCUCACAUCAUAGCCCAUGCUCUUUUCCCUUUGCCAGAUUUAUAAAGAGAUACAUGUAAAUGAGAACUGCAACAUGAAAAAUGAUGUUAAAAGCCAAACUAGUUUCUCUUUAGUUAUUUAAAACAUCAGUUUAUAGAUGAAAAGGGAAAGAUGUAUAUUCCAAAAACACGGAAUCCUUACUUUUUGUGAUCUCAUUACAGUAACACUGUCAGCCACAGAGAAUCCUCACAUUUUGUGACUCUGUCAUUUCUUAAUAUAGGAUAUGCUGAAAAACAUGGAGAUUUCAGCUACUGGACUUCUUAAUAAUCAAUUAUCUGGGAACUUUAGUUGCUAAUUAUUUUUCAUUCAAAAUAAAUCAUCCAAAAAAUAGUUUUGUGAGGAAUUUAAGAAAAUAAAAUGAGCCCUGUGAUGACAAGUGGAUGUAAAUUUUUACUUUCAUAAUUAAUGUCAUCAUUGUGACAACUGAAACUUUUUGGUGCAGCUUUCUAACCAUUUGUGAAAGCUAGAAAAUUCUGAGGUUGUCAAACACCAUGCCGGUUGAGGAGUACUCGCCACCCUGCAAGUAGCUUCUGGAAAAUGCAUGGCCCCACUGUUUCUGUCUUGUCAUUGAAGAGCAUUUGAUUAAUACUUUUUCUCCUUACAAGGAUGACCCACACUUGACUAAUACAAAAGGUAUUGCUAAAUGCAUUACCUAAAUAUAUCCUAUGUAAAUGAAGACAUUCCAAUGAGAUAUAGUUAUUUAUAGGCAGCAAUUAUGUGAGGCCAACAUACUUUCUGUCCAAGCCAAACUCUGAUUUCAAAUUUCUUUACUUUUUGCAAAAGCAAAUUUCAAGCGAUGGUCCCACAGCAGCCAUAAUUUGGCUUUUUUUUUUUUUCAUAGAUGCUGUAUUUUAUAACCACCUUGCACUUAAUUUUAUUACCCUGAAAUGCAAGCUUGGAUAUAGAAUGAUGGCGCUGAGGUUAAGUAAGAGGUUGGAAUGCCCUGCUUUAUGUGUAUAGAAAUUCUCAAAGAUAAUGCCAUAGUAAUGACUGAUGCACUUUAUUUUUCAGUUGCUUAAAGACAGGUGCAUUAUUGAUCACUAUAAAAAAUGUGUGGAUUUCAACACCCAUGACAACAUUGAAUUGACUGCACACUCUCAACCUUGCAUGUCCUUACAAUACUGCAUAUCAAAUAUGUUUUCACAGACCUGGUGUGGGUUCGCUAGCUAUGACAUUACUCUCAAUAUAUAUGGUUAUAGAAAUGCCUUACAUGUUUUUAUGGAUUUGUACAUCCUUCAAAUUCAAAUUUCAAAAUGGCUGAAUGUGUACAAAGCUUGCUUAGUCAUUCCACUGUGCCUCUUAGAUCCAGGAAGAGAGCAGUGCACACCAUAAAAGCCUACUCAUUUGCAAAAUGGAACAAUAAUGGGUUGAUAUGAGCGUUAAGUACAUUAACACAUAGGAGUUUCUUAGAAAAAUUUUGGAUCCUACUUUGUAUGUUAGCUUUUUAAAAAUUCAUAUUAGUUUAGUAUUGGCAUUAAUAUAUCCUUAUUACUGUUAUUAAAAACCCAGUCUUUCUCAUUAACCUAAAUUCAGGAGUGAUAAAUAAGCAUCUGAUGGUCAACUUACUUUCAAUAUUAAUUGAUAAUUUGUCACUAGGAAUAAAAAUACAAUUAAUAUCUGGACAAUUUUUGAGAGGGUUUGAUGAGAUGAUACUUGCAAAUUUGACACAGAAUUUUCACUUGUGUCUGGGAAUAGAUGUCUCUAUGUAUGUGUCUACAUGGAUCUAUACAGAUAUAGGUAAUUAGACCACAGGUAGAUGUUAAUUCACUUUUAUAUUUUAUCAUAUGCUACUACAUAUCAUUUUAAAAUGCUGAACUGUUUCCUGUUGAACUUUAAGAGGAACAAUCUUGACUACGUAUCAUUUUAAUUUAAAAUAAAUAUAUAAGUAUUAUCAAAUCUGUGACUCAGAAUAAACAUACCUAGUAUAUAAAAUGCUACACUUUUAUAAACCUACUAUAGCUUCAGAACUGUAUUUUCUCACAUACCUAUACACACAUACAUAUGCACAUGUAGGUAUAUGCAUAUACAUUAACUUCAUUGUAUUUCUUAUAUUUUGAUGGAAACCAAGAAGGAACUAGUUCUCUAGGGCUCCUGGAUAACUUUCUCUUAUGUUAAUACUCAGUUUUAAUUACUCUAUUACUUAUCAAUGAGGUAAGUGACUAAAUUUCCCUUAUCAAAUAGAAUAUUUAGGAAUCACCAAAUUUUAAGUGAAAGCAUGUAUCUGUGCAAAUUGUAAUAAACCUAGAAUAGUUGACUAUAAUGUAUUUAUUAAUCUUUUCUUAUUUCAUGGCUCUUAU
RNAcentral lists this long non-coding RNA (2522 nucleotides) under Sus scrofa (pig). RNAcentral describes it as "lncRNA (ENSSSCG00000060861.1)". Lineage: Eukaryota; Metazoa; Chordata; Mammalia; Artiodactyla; Suidae. The record is from RNAcentral.